RNAcentral lists this ribosomal RNA (303 nucleotides) under uncultured bacterium. RNAcentral's name for it is "partial 16S ribosomal RNA". It matches the Rfam family "Bacterial small subunit ribosomal RNA", at positions 507 to 807 of the family's 1533-position model. The record is from RNAcentral.
AGCAGUCGCCGCGGGAACACAGAGGGUGCGAGCGUUAAUCGGAUUUACUGGGCGUAAAGCGUGCGUAGGCGGCUUUUUAAGUCGGAUGUGAAAUCUCUGAGCUUAACUUAGGAAUUGCAUUCGAUACUGGGAAGCUAGAGUAUGGGAGAGGAUGGUAGAAUUCCAGGUGUAGCGGUGAAAUGCGUAGAGAUCUGGAGGAAUACCGAUGGCGAAGGCAGCCAUCUGGCCUAAUACUGACGCUGAGGUACGAAAGCAUGGGGAGCAAACAGGAUUAGAUACCCGUGUAGUCCCUGUCUCUUAUAC